CGCGGCCUAUCAGCUUGUUGGUGGGGUAAUGGCCUACCAAGGCGGCGACGGGUAGCCGGCCUGAGAGGGCGACCGGCCACACUGGGACUGAGACACGGCCCAGACUCCUACGGGAGGCAGCAGUGGGGAAUAUUGCACAAUGGGCGAAAGCCUGAUGCAGCGACGCCGCGUGAGGGAUGACGGCCUUCGGGUUGUAAACCUCUUUCAGCAGGGACGAAGCGUAAGUGACGGUACCUGCAGAAGAAGCGCCGGCCGACUACGUGCCAGCAGCCGCGGUAAGACGUAGGGCGCGAGCGUUGUCCGGAUUUAUUGGGCGUAAAGAGCUCGUAGGCGGCUUGUCGCGUCGACUGUGAAAACCCGCAGCUCAACUGCGGGCCUGCAGUCGAUACGGGCAGGCUAGAGUUCGGUAGGGGAGACUGGAAUUCCUGGUGUAGCGGUGGAAUGCGCAGAUAUCAGGAGGAACACCGGUGGCGAAGGCGGGUCUCUGGGCCGAUACUGACGCUGAGGAGCGAGAGCGUGGGGAGCGAACAGGAUUAGAUACCCUGGUGGUCCACGCUGUAAACGUUGGGCGCUAGGUGUGGGGGACCUCUCCGGUUCUCUGUGCCGCAGCUAACGCAUUAAGCGCCCCGCCUGGGGAGUACGG
This 643-nucleotide ribosomal RNA is filed under the name uncultured bacterium. Its description in RNAcentral is "bacterial SSU rRNA". It matches the Rfam family "Bacterial small subunit ribosomal RNA", at positions 232 to 885 of the family's 1533-position model. The record is from RNAcentral.